UGCAUGCCAUGUGAAGGCUGCUUGCUGUUCACGUUCAUAAAAAGGCUAUAAUAAGCUCUUGGCGUGUGAACGCAACCUUUUGACACAUUUCAACUCAGUUCAAAUAAGUAAGAACAAAGGAGGUUGUGUAUACAAUGAGUAUGAGUGACAGGAAUCACCAUUCAAGCUUAAAAUACUUACGUUUUUCUUAUUAUUGUAUUAGACCAGAGUUUGUUGAAAGAAGAGAAGCAUACCUUGGUAAAUUCACUGAUUUGCUUCAUAGCCUUUGAAUCAUAGAAGAAGACCAAUCCUACUCUCAUCUCUGUAUGGAGGUGCCAGUAUAGUUGUGUCUCCAUCACACAAUUCACCAUUUUAUGGGGUUAUCGUGGAUGUUUAUCAGGACUCUGUGAAGGGAAAUGUCUCACUUGGCAACAAAAACACACCUUGCACACAACACCUAUUAAACAAAGUGCAGUUUUGACGCUUGAGCUUUUGCAACUCAUUAAACAACUGAGACCAACAAAUGGGCUAAUUGGUGAAGUUUCGAGACACAAGGAUUUAUUUGUGUAACAAAACCAACCGCACAGUCUACAUGAAAGUGGACCUGUUGUUCUCGUUUCUAGCGCCGUAUUUCAAUUCUUGCAUUCAACCAGAGAAACUUUGAUCAAAAAAAAUAAAAAAUAAAAAAUCCUGAUUUGUGUUGUAAAAGCUCUGGAUGCACACACCUCAUUCACCUGCUAUGUCAAACAAAACUUUUUAAGUUCUUAUUACUUUAAGGCCACAGUUUUAAUUGAUUGGCUGCCCCUCUCAGUCAGAAGAUUUAAACAGCAGGUGAGUGUGGUCUCUCUACUCAGAGGGUUAGUUAGCAGCCCUUCUCUAUGACAUCAUGUAGUGCCAAGAGUAAAACAAGAGAUUUAGGGGUGUUGCAGGGAAUACUUACACACACACUGAUCACAUUAUUUAAAAGACUGACCCUGUAACACUACAGAUAUGACUGGCCCACUUGAACAUGGCAUUUUCAGGGAUCUGAAUUUUCUUUUUUUCACCUAUUAUAAAAAAAAGAAUUACGACAGGCCUGUUCAGAGACCUCAUGGUAUUUGACCAGGUGGUUAACAGCAAUCUGUGGGCUUUAAAUCCAGUCAAAGUAUUGCACAUCUAAAGGCUGGCACUCCUACACCACAAGACCUUUGCAAGCUGCCCUGUGGGAGCAAUGUCUCUCCAGCUCGAGUGGGCAGACAAAAGGUGAGCAGGCUGAGAGGGCGCUGCAGCAUAAGCACCAUCUGUCUGGG
Long non-coding RNA from Astatotilapia calliptera (eastern happy), 1268 nucleotides. The record is from Ensembl. Lineage: Eukaryota; Metazoa; Chordata; Actinopteri; Cichliformes; Cichlidae.